GAACUUUCUGGGAGUAGUUUACAUGGAUUUUCUGUCACUCGCUAGUGCCGGCAGGCACGUUCAAAGCUGGCACCUUCUGCUAGCUCCAGGGAAUUCUAUGGUGGUGAGGAAGCUGUGGAGGGCCUCUACAGCAUCUGUCUAUUGCUGGGGUGCAAGGAUGGCCUAACGUGAGGUCAGUAUAGCAUAAAGGUGAUGUGGAUUUAUUUGCCUAAGCAUAGAGAUCUAAUCACUUUGGACACUGCGAUCUGGACUCCAUCUGCCUCUCCAGAAGGGCACAAAUCUCCUGUGGGUCCUAUCUAUCAGCCAUGGGCAAACAUCUUGGAAAUGUGCUAAAUUAAUACCCAACUCACUUGAAGGAUUUAGAGUAUGUAACUCAGCCAUCAUUUAUCAUGCAGACAAAGAUCUUCAGAUCUUUUCAGGGGCUGAAACACCUCUCCUGUAGGGAGAGGCUGAGUGAGCUGGGCCUGUUCAGCCUGAGGAAAAGGAAGAUCAGGGUGAUCUCACCAAUGUCUGUAAACACCUGGGGGUAUACUUGCAGGGAACUGAUCUCCAGAGAGCACAUGAAGCUGAUGUCCCAGAACAAUAUCUUCAGGAACUGAUAAGCGUUCUUUCCUUUCAUUUAUCAACCGGCAGCAGACAUUCAGCAGAUGUAAUUUCAGAAAGCGAGGCCAGGAAACGCUCGUAUGAGGAGCCUUCUCACACCUGUCACAAGUGUGAGCACUCUGUGAAAGACCCAGAGGAAAUGCAAUUACUGCCACCACCUUCAGAGAAGCCACUUAGUCACUUAAAGAUCAGACCUGGGCUGCUCUGGAUUCCUGUUCAUCAUGGGGUGUGGGAAAGGCAAAGAGGAUUUCAUCAGGGCAAGGAGAAGUCUGUGAGAUGA
Molecule: long non-coding RNA, 883 nt
Organism: Numida meleagris (helmeted guineafowl)
Lineage: Eukaryota; Metazoa; Chordata; Aves; Galliformes; Numididae
Source: Ensembl